Molecule: long non-coding RNA, 926 nt
Filed under: Panax ginseng (ginseng)
Lineage: Eukaryota; Viridiplantae; Streptophyta; Magnoliopsida; Apiales; Araliaceae
Description: long non-coding RNA (PGIN_LNC018766)
Source: RNAcentral
AUCUUUGCCUCUCUAGCCAUUGUGGGAUAAUACCGGCUGGCUUCGUGUCCCCACCUCCAGACCUCCAUCUCUCCAUUGUGGGAUAAUACCACCAGCCUUCGUGUCCCCACCUCCGGCAACCCGAUCGGAUGACCCGACCCGAGCUUUCGAGAAUCGGCUUUGAUACCAUGUAAAAUAACCCGGGUCAAAUCCCGAAUCCGGAACAAAUCUCGGGUCCAAUCCCAAGUUCGAAUCGAAUUAAAUCCAUUAAAAUAAGGCCUCAAACUACUGGCCCAAUAGUAUCUUCUUGGGUCAUCUUAGCCCACCACAGGCUCCCAAAAGGUCAUGACUUGAAGGUAUUAUUGGUAGUAACUUAUUUCCUUAUAUACAGACAAAUUUUUCCCCUAUCUUUCGAUGUGGGACUGGGGUGUUACAAACUCCCCCACUUAAAUUUCUGACGUCCCCGUCAGAACCGAUCACGCACACGGUCCAAAGAUCUUUUCCUCUCUAGCCAUUGUGGGAUAAUACCGGCUGGCUUCGUGUCCCCACCUCCGGACCUUCAUCUCUCCAUUGUGGGAUAAUACCACCAGCCUUCGUGUCCCCACCUCCGGACCUUCAUCUCUCCAUUGUGGGAUAAUACCACCAGCCUUCGUGUCCCCACCUCCAGCAACCCGAUCGGACCCGACCCGAGCUUUCGAGAAUCGGUUUUGAUACCAUAUGAAAUAACCCGGGUCAAAUCCCGAGUCCGGAACAAAUCUCGGGUCAAAUCCCAAGUUCGAAUCGAAUCAAAUCCAUCAAAAUAAGGCCUCAAACUACUGGCCCAAUAGUAUCUUCUUGGGUCAUCUUAGCCCACCACAGGCUCCCAAAAGGUCAUGACUUAAAGGUAUUAUUGGUAGUAACUUAUUUCCUUAUAUACAGACAAAUUUUUCCCCUAUCUUUCGAUGUGG